UACGUAGGCAGCAAGCGUUGUUCGGAGUUACUGGGCGUAAAGAGUGUGUAGGCGGUUCUCUAAGUCUGGUGUGAAAUCUCCCGGCUCAACUGGGAGGGUGCAUUGGGAACUGGAGGGCUCGAGUAUGGGAGAGGAAAGCGGAAUUCCUGGUGUAGCGGUGAAAUGCGUAGAUAUCAGGAGGAACACCUGUGGUGUAGACGGCUUUCUGGACCAUCACUGACGCUGAGACACGAAAGCGUGGGGAGCAAACAGG
Molecule: ribosomal RNA, 253 nt
Filed under: uncultured bacterium
Lineage: Bacteria
Description: partial 16S ribosomal RNA
Rfam family: Bacterial small subunit ribosomal RNA
Source: RNAcentral